UACGUAGGGUGCGAGCGUUGUCCGGAAUCACUGGGCGUAAAGGGCGCGUAGGUGGUGGCUUAAGCGUGCGGUGAAAGCUCGGGGCUCAACUCCGAGUCGGCCGUGCGAACUGGGCUCACUGGAGCAUAGUAGAGGCAGGUGGAAUUCCGGGUGUAGCGGUGGAAUGCGUAGAGAUCCGGAAGAACACCGGUGGCGAAGGCGGCCUGCUGGGCUAUGGCUGACACUGAGGCGCGACAGCGUGGGGAGCAAACAGG
This 254-nucleotide ribosomal RNA is filed under the name uncultured bacterium. RNAcentral describes it as "partial 16S ribosomal RNA". It matches the Rfam family "Bacterial small subunit ribosomal RNA", at positions 524 to 776 of the family's 1533-position model. The record is from RNAcentral.